GACGAACGCUGGCGGCGUGCUUAACACAUGCAAGUCGAACGAAGUGGCGAACGGGUGAGUAACGCGUAAUCAACCUGCCCUUCAGAGGGGGACAACAGUUGGAAACGACUGCUAAUACCGCAUACUGAAGGAGGGGAAUGCGUCUGAUUAGUUAGUGGGGGGGGUAACGGCCCACCAAGGCGAUGAUCAUGAGCCGGUCUGAGAGGAGGAACGGCCACAGUGGGACGGAGACACGGCCAAACCCCUACGGGAGGCAGCAGGGGGGAAUCUUCCGCAAUGGACGAAAGUCUGACUGGGCAACGCCGCGUGGGUGAUGACGGCCUUCGGGUUGGAAAGCUCUGUUAGUCGGGACGCGGUACCGGAAUAGAAAGCCACGGCUAACUACGUGCCAGCAGCCGCGGUAAUAC
Molecule: ribosomal RNA, 407 nt
Filed under: uncultured bacterium
Lineage: Bacteria
Description: partial 16S ribosomal RNA
Rfam family: Bacterial small subunit ribosomal RNA
Source: RNAcentral